CCUACGGGUGGCUGCAGUGAGGAAUAUUGGUCAAUGGGCGCGAGCCUGAACCAGCCAAGUAGCGUGAAGGAUUACUGCCCUACGGGUUGUACACUUCUUUUAUAAAGGAAUAAAGUGAGGCACGUGUCCCUUUUUGUAUGUACUUUAUGAAUAAGGAUCGGCUAACUCCGUGCCAGCAGCCGCGGGAAUACGGAGGAUACGAGCGUUAUCCGGAAUUCUUGGGUUUAAAGGGAGCGUAGAUGGGUUGUUAACUCAGUUGUGAAAGUUUGCGGCUCAAACGUAAAAUUGCAAUUGAUACUGGCAGUCUUGAGUACAGUUGAGGUAGGCGGAAUUCGUGGUGUAGCGGUGAAAUGCUUAGAUAUCACGAAGAACUCCGAUUGCGAAGGCAGCUUACUAAACUGCCACUGACAUUGAUGCUCGAAAGUGUGGGGAUCGAACAGGAUUAGAUACCCGAGUAGUC
This 460-nucleotide ribosomal RNA is filed under the name uncultured bacterium. Its description in RNAcentral is "partial 16S ribosomal RNA". It matches the Rfam family "Bacterial small subunit ribosomal RNA", at positions 338 to 795 of the family's 1533-position model. The record is from RNAcentral.